This 228-nucleotide long non-coding RNA is filed under the name Sorghum bicolor (sorghum). Its description in RNAcentral is "long non-coding RNA (SBIC_LNC009786)". The record is from RNAcentral. Lineage: Eukaryota; Viridiplantae; Streptophyta; Magnoliopsida; Poales; Poaceae.
GAACACCUCCUUCAAGAAGGCGAUGGCAAUGGUAAUGAUGCCCCAACCAUCACAAGGACAAGGCCUUGCCCUCCCCCUGAUGAACGCCUAGGCUCCUCUGACUGUUACAUGUACAUACAAGACCAGCAGAUGAAGACAAAAGCAACGAUGGACAGUGGUGCUAUUGCUACUAUACCAAGUAUUAUAUGUGAUCAUGCUUACAUCAUGCAUGUGCAUGACAGCCUGUAC